GUUGUAUAGUUAAGUGACUAAGCGUACACGGUGGAUGCCUAGGCAAUCAGAGGCGAAGAAGGACGUGCUAAUCUGCGAAAAGCUUGGAUGAGUUGAUAAGAAGCGUUUAAUCCAAGAUAUCCGAAUGGGGAAACCCAGUAGAUGAAGAAUCUACUAUCAAUAGAUGAAUACAUAGUCUGUUGAGGCAAACCGGGAGAACUGAAACAUCUAAGUACCCCGAGGAAAAGAAAUCAACCGAGAUUUUGUCAGUAGCGGCGAGCGAAAGCGAAAGAGCCAGCAAGUGAUAGCAGCAAAGACAGAAGAAUUGGCUGGGAAGCCAAGCGACACAGGGUGAUAGCCCCGUAUUUUAAGUUUAUGUUGUGGUACUAAACUUGCAACAAGUAGGGCGGGACACGAGAAAUCCUGUUUGAAGAUGGGGGGACCAUCCUCCAAGGCUAAAUACUCCUGAUUGACCGAUAGUGAACCAGUACU
This 471-nucleotide ribosomal RNA is filed under the name Glaesserella parasuis. RNAcentral describes it as "partial 23S ribosomal RNA". It matches the Rfam family "Bacterial large subunit ribosomal RNA", at positions 1 to 502 of the family's 2925-position model. The record is from RNAcentral. Lineage: Bacteria; Pseudomonadati; Pseudomonadota; Gammaproteobacteria; Pasteurellales; Pasteurellaceae.